RNAcentral lists this long non-coding RNA (352 nucleotides) under Setaria viridis. Its description in RNAcentral is "long non-coding RNA (SVIR_LNC000007)". Lineage: Eukaryota; Viridiplantae; Streptophyta; Magnoliopsida; Poales; Poaceae. The record is from RNAcentral.
UUCAUGUCCCUGUAUUCUUGAAAAAAAACAGUAGCUAAAUCGCUUAAAUCUUGCACCUAAUAAUAGGAAUAAAACAAAAAGAAAAGAAACAAAAUGUAAUAAGCUGUGAGCCAAUCACAAUGCUCGCUAGCGUCUCACCCGGGCCCACGUGAUCCCUUGCCGUCGCCAAUGGCGUCGUCGGCAGAAUGGCAACGUGCCCAUUCUUUGUUUCUGUUCUCGUGUGAAGCCGGUGUCCCACGACCAUUGUCGCGUUCCGUGCGCUGGCAGCUAGAGCAAGCGUUGCACUUCUCACUCUAGCUGCCGCCUGCCAGUACUUAACGAUGAUCGAGCCACACGCGCAGCUCCGCUCACC